Manis pentadactyla (Chinese pangolin) is the source of this 6992-nucleotide long non-coding RNA. RefSeq lists it as uncharacterized. The transcript is spliced from 2 exons. NCBI's taxonomy places the organism in Eukaryota, Metazoa, Chordata, Mammalia, Pholidota, Manidae. The record is from RefSeq and is a predicted model, not a curated record.
AGUAGAAAGAGGAUGAUGCUUCAUUAUUUGUACACUGGUUUGAGUUAGAUCCAAAACCUAGAUCUCUUGAGUUCAGUACAUGUUGGCCUGAACAGGAGGUAAGAGGUGAUCAGGACCUGUCCUACUUACUGGUUUUGUCUAAGUUAGACUUGGAUCCAAAGAGAGAAGAUGCAUUCCCUGCACUCUUCAAGUUUAAAAUCUAAUUUUAAACUACUUUGAAAAUUAGACGUAAUAGGAGUUAAGCCCAAGAGCAGUUUAGGCUUAACUGUGAAUCUCUGUUAAUGUCUAGACUUGGCAUUUUAUCUUGAUCAAUAAGGAACUGUUUACUUGGAAAAUAUUGCAGAGCCUAGUAGAGGCUUAAACUCUGGAGUACCUUAGCAUGUGUUUGUUAGUAUAUUAAAAGUCAUAAAUGCAGUGAAGACUUAAGGAAGGGAAAUUUUAAAAUAGAGUAAGUCCUCUUUAUUUCUUUUUUAAUUUCCAGCUAGUUUAUAGGUGUGACAUUUGCAGAUUUUUUUCUAACAUUUUCAUUUCCUUCUCUAUUGUGAGAUUAAUUUUAAUUACUUUUAUUCUGUAUAGAUGGGGAAAUUGAGACACAGAUCUGAAUCAGGUCACAAAGCAAAGGAUUAGGAGUCGAAAUGAAUUCAGACCUCUUGAUAUUCUAUCCAAUAAUCUUUUACUGGCUUGUACUGCUUGGAGAUACCUGUACUUUCUAUUUUAGUUUAAAGUUUUUCCUUUAACUCUUGUUUUUUCUUAUAAAAAUAAUACAGUCAUUGUAAAAAUAACAGAAAAUACAGAAAAUAAUAAAGAGAAUAAAGAUAUGUUCCUAUAACAUAUGUGUGUAGAAAUAUAUACUAUAUUCCUACUGCCUAGAAAUCACUGCUAAUAUUUCAGGAUAUCUAUUUUCAGAUUUAAUUGUAUACAUACUUAGCUAUCUUUAUAGAUGGUUUUUUUUAAUGAGAUCAAACUAUGCCUAAUUUUGUGAAUUUUCAUUUCAAAUAUAAUUUAAUGUUAAUAUGUCAUAAUUUUAGUUACUUCAUAGAAUUGCAUUGUGUGAAUGUAUUAUUUAAACUCUUAUUGAUAGGUUGUUUCCCAUUUUUUUGCCUUUAGAAAUAAUAUAAUUAUAAAAUUCUUAAUAUAUGCAUCUUUUUAUACUUCCCUGAUAAUUUCUUUAAGAAAAAUUUCCAAGAAUCCAGUUAUUGGGUCAAAAGGUAUGCCUACUGUGACAUUAUGUGUAUUCAAUUUAACCUUCAUCCUAUCUAUUCCUUUAUGUUCUUUGUCACACUGGACUAUGUAAAUGCUUCAUUUCUCUCUUCAUCUCUGCUUUGGCAAGCCACAGAAGAAACCCCACUCUUGAGUGUGAUCGCAAAGAAGUGUACACCAGGGCCUGGGCUUUUUUUUUUUCUUUUAAUUUUUUAUAAAGGUAUUAUUGAUAUACACUCUUAUGAAGGUUUCACAUGAAAAAGCAAUGUGGUUACUACAUUCACCCAUAUUAUCAAGUCCCCACCCAUACCCCAAUGCAGUCACUGUCCAUCAGUGUAGUAAGAUAAGGGGCCUGGACUUUACGUGCUUUUUCUUUUAAUUCUCUGAACAAGUCCUAUGAACUACAUAGUUAAAUGAGGUAUAUCAAAAGUAAGUAUUUUAGGAGUUAGAGCUAAAAAUUAGAUUUCUUCCAGCAGGUAGCUGAGAUCAUGAAAUAUCACAUACUAAAGUAUAAUAAUAACAAGCUACCAUUUAUUGAGCACCUAACUAUGCACCAAUUGCCGUACUAGAUGCUUUUGUAUAUUAUUUAGUCUUCCUACAAAAGCUCCAAAGCCUGUGCGCUUUAUGCAGUUCUCCCCUUACAGCUUUGUUUACAAGUUCGCUUCUUAGUUCCCACCCCUUUGUUAGAUGUCAAAUUCUAGAGAGCAGGGACUUGUUACUAAUCAUUUUGUGAAUUACCAUGAAGGAGAGGUUACAUUGGGUGCCUUUGUAGAAAUGCUUUAUGAUUGUGAUGGUUAUGAAAGUCAUGAAAGACUUUUACAAUUUAUUUUGUUGACUUUUUAAUUUAUAAACAAUCUCCUAUUUGAUAGAAAAUGGCUUUUUUGUGUGCUUUUAAUUUUUCAUUUGCAGAUAUGGAGAAACCUUUAGGCCACCAGAGGGCAUUGCAGUCAGCCUCCUAUUAUUUUCAUUCUAAAUCACUGCUGUCAAGAGAUGCCUAGUGAAAUUUGUUCCCAAUUAAAUUUUAAAAAGAAGCAUUUUUAGACUCAGUGAGCACCUAUGAAUAGGAAGUGUGGCUUGAACUUGGUGGAGCACUACCUUGAGGCACCCUUUUAAUCUGAAAAACCAAAAAGUGGAGUAAGUAGUAUUUUGCUGAAAUUACUCUUCCACUUUUUCCUUUCUUCAAGCAUAUGCCUGAAUUCUUAAUUUGUCCUCCAUAAUUUAUAAUCUUCUCUUAGUCAGAUAAUAAAGCCAGUUACUCUCAAUAUCAAUAGAAAUUGAAGUCACAGAAACAAAGGACACACUUUUUGGCCAGUAGCAUCCACAUCUUCACUGGUCUUUGUUGACACUAAUAAAAACUUGCAAAAUUGACUGAUCCACAGUUAACUACUCUCUGGUUUCUAUUCACCAUCUGGUGGAAGUGCAGAUAGGCAUAAAAAUGAUUAAAAAUCAGAGCAGGAGGGAGAAAAGUAAAAGGCAUUUUGACAACCCAUGAAUUUAAAAAUCAAUUCAAAUCAAGACUAAACAAGUAAGUGAUUGAGAUAUAAACAAGUAAAUCAACAUCACUUGAAAAAAAUGUAACUAUUGGGACUUUAAAUUGUAGCCAACUAGAGCUUUCAUGGAUCUGUGCUCUGGGAGCACUUGAGAUACUAAUUUAUUUUGCAAACAUUUACUGAGUACAUUUGUACCAGGUACUUGCUAAGUACUGGCAUACAGAUAAGAAUAAUAAUCAUUAUAUAUUGCUUUAGUUUUUAAACAAUCUGGCAUCUACUAUCUUAGUACUUACUUCAUACCUCUGAGAUGAAUUAGGGCAGAUGAUAUUUUAAUUUAUAGGUAUGGAGACAGGUUUGGAAUGGUUAAAUUAUUCAUUUAUGGUUACACAGCCAAUAACAGAAUAGGACUUAAACAGAGGUCUUCUGACUCAAAUUCCAUCCUUUCCCACAACGAUGUUAUCUUCCUAGAAGUGAGCCUAUUAUUCUCAAGGGAAGACUUGAGGGGUAUACUAUGCCAAAGGACCUAAAGUUAGAAUUGGAUGUAUUAUAGCCACUGGGUGGUUUUGAUUGUUUAGUUUAAUAAGCAACUUAGCAAAUAAGUUCAAAAGCUUACCAGCACUAUUUCUCUUUUAUCAAAAAUGGAAGGUAGAUUCAGUAUGCAGGCAAUGAAAAUAGAUUGGAUUCUCUAUUUGGUCAACCUAUUACCAGGAAUUCAACUUGUUUCAACUCUGUGAGCCCUCACAUCUUUCUCCAAGGUAUGAUUUAUGCAGUAAUGCCCAUGUUAAAAAAACCAGUCCCCUCAUUUGAGUGUCAAACUUGGGUAAGAAUGUCCCUGACACAAAGGUCUCUGUUGGCUUUUUAUUUCUUUGGUAGUUUUGGAAAGUAAUACCCUGGGUAGAGCACCAUAAAGUCCCUUUGGCAUUAAGUUGUAUUUCUCUUUUUACUUACUUCAUCCCUCAAUAGAUGAAGAGCUGAGAAUCCUCAUCAGCAUUACUAUGCCUGGGCACUAUCAUGAGUACUCUAAAUAUUUGUCCAUGGAGUGUAUAUAUUGAGGGACAUGGAGUAUAGUGUUAAAUUUGGUUUUGUCUAAACCAGAGUACCUAAAGUUACAGUCCUUCUAACACUGUGUAUUUUGAGAAAAAGUAAGACAUGGCUUCCCUAAAACUUAAUACCUUAGUAAUUUCAACACAUUAAAUAGAAAUGGUACAUAUACUCCUAUCUUAGUCUGAUCUGAAUGAAGUGUGGUAUGUAUCCAGGCAGAAGGGAGCUGAGAAAUAAAUGCAUAAGCUUAGGAGACAAAGCAGGAAAAAUGCCAAUGCUAUGCAGUUAAAACAAGAAUACUGGUAUCGUUCUUACCACAUCAUGUUACUCGUUCAUCCGUCACUCCUGUUCCUGAAAGGGCAGGCUUAAUUUUCGUGUCUCCGUUAUCUACCAGUGAGACUUAACAAUGGCACUUAUUAAACAUCGUUGCCUUGUACCAAAAAUAUUUUGCUAAUCAAGAAGUCAACAAAUAAUUUUUGAGCAUCUGCCAAUUGCCAGCCACUUUGCUAAGCAAUAGGUAUACACUGAACAAGACAAUGGAGGGAGACAAACAAUGAGUAUAUAAACCAGUAAGAUGAUUUUUUUUUGAGGCACAGGUAAGUGCUGUACAACAUACUGUAGGGAGCAUAUUCAUCUAACAUACUUUAACAGAUAUUUUAGUUAACAGCAUCCAUGUAAGAGAGGAGGAGAGAAUAUUCAUACAGAGUAUGCAUGUACUGAAAUGAGGAAGGUAAGAGCGUCAGAGCAGGAGAGCAUACAGGCAAGCAAAGAUAGAAAAGGGCUAGAAUGCAAUAUAGUGCCACUGACUAAGGGAUUAAAAUCUAAAGUUAGUUAAACUAGCAUUUUUCUAUUAUUUCUUUUUUUUCCUUCCAAUUUUUUGUUUAUGGGCUUAUCCUUAGUGGUGCUGCUACCUUUUAAAAUAGCUUUAUUGAGAUACAAUUCACACAAACCAUAUAAUUCAUCCAUUUAAACUAUAUAAUUCAGUGGCUUUUAGUGUAUAAACAGAUGUGUGCAACCAUCACCUCAGUCAGUUUUAGAACAGUUUCAUCACCUCAAAAAGAAACUCGUGCUCUUUAGACUCAUUCCCUCAUCUCCCAGUUUCCUAUUUCCUAUCCCUAAGAAACCAUUAAUUUUUGUAUCAGAUUUUCCAAUUCUAGACUUUCAUAUGAAUGGAAUCAAAUAAUAUGUGGACUUUUGUGACAGGCUUCUUUAAAUUGGCAUAAUAUUUUCAAGGUUCAUUGAAUUUAUAGCAAAUAUUCCUUUUUAUGGCUGGAUGAUAUUCCAGUUUUAGAUCUACAACAUUAUGUUUAUCCAUUCAUCAGUUGGUAGACAUUUGGGUUUCCACACUUUGGCUAUUAUUAAUAAUGCUGCUAUGAAAUUUCAUAUACAAGUUUUUGUGUAGACAAGUGUUUUCAUUUUUCUUAGCUACAUACCUAGGAGUGGAAUUGCUUAGUCAUAUGGUAACUAUUUUUAAUCAUUUCAGAACUGCCAUAUUGUUUUCCAAAGCAGCUGUACCAUUAUACAUUCCCACUGACGAUGUUUGAGGGUUCCAAUUUCUUCAUAUCCUUGCUACCACUUACCUGACUUCUUGAUUAUCCUACUGGAUAUACAGUUACAUCUUACAGUGAUUCAAUUUGCAUUUCCCUGAUGACUAAUGUCAAGUUUCUUUAUCUGUGUUUAUUGGCCAUUUGUACAUCUUCUUGGGAGAAAUGUCCAUUCAGAUAUUUUGCUGAUUUCUCUAAGUUGAAUUUUUUCAUCUUCUUAUUGAGUUAUAUAUCCUUUAAAUGUUCUGGACUGCAUUCUACAUUCUUUAUAUAUUCUGGGUUCAUGUCCCUUAACAGAUACAUGAUUUCCAAAUUUUUCUCUCAUUUUCUGGAUUGUGUUUUCAUUUUUUUUAUUAUGUCCUUUGAAGCACUGAAGUUUUUUAUUUUCAUCUAGUCCAAUUUACAUGUAUUUUCUUUUGUUGCUUAUGUUUUUGUGUCAUAUCUAAGAAUCCAUUUCCAAAUCUAAGGUCACAAAGAUUUAAGUCUAUGUUUUCUUCCAAGAGUUUUAUUGUUUUGGCUCUUAUAUUUAGGUCUUCGAUACUUGCCUUACAUUUUUUAUAACUUUUUAGCUAAUUUUUGCAAAUGGUGGGGGUAAGGUUCCAAUCUUAUUUUUUGUCAUGGACAUCAAAUUGUAUUAGCACCAUUUGUUGAAAAGACUAUUCUUUCCCUGUUGAAUGGUCUUGGCACCCUUGUCAAAAAUCAAUUGAGUGUAGACAAACGUGGUUAAUUCUAAUUCUCAGUUCUGUUCCAUUGAUCUUGUAUGUCUAUCCUUUUGCCAUUACCACACUGACUUGAUUCCUAUUGCUUUGUACUACUUUUUUUUUGGUAUCAUUAAUAUACAAUAACAUGAGCAACAUUUUGGUUACUAGAUUCCCCCAUUAUUAAUUCCCUACCACAUACCUGUAUAGAGUCACUACUUGUCUUCUCUAUGCUAUACUGCCUUCUCCUUGCCCUCCCCACAGUAUGUGUGCUAAUUGUAAUGCCCCUUAUUUCCCUUCUCCCUCCCUUCCCACCCAUCCUCCCCAAUCCCUUUCCCUUUGGUAAUUGUUAGUCCAUUCUUGGGUUCUGUGAGUCUGCUGCUGUUUUGUUUCUUCAGUUUUUGCUUUGUUUUUAUGCUCCACAUAUGAGUGAAAUCACUUGGUACUUGUCUUUCUCUGCCUGGCUUAUUUCACUGAGCAUAAUACCCUCUAGGUCCAUCCAUGUUGUUGCAAAUGGUAGGAUUUGUUUUCUUCUUAUGGCUGAAUAAUAUUCCAUUGUGUAUAUAUACCACAUCUUCUUUAUCCAUUCAUCUACUGAUGGACACUUAGGUUGCUUCCAUUUCUUGGCUAUUGUAAAUGCUUUGUAUUACAUUUUGAAAUCAAAAAGUGUGAGUUCCCCAACUUUAUUCUUUUUCAGGAUUGUUUUGGUUAUAUGGGGUCCCCUAAAAAUCCAUUAAACUUUUAUUUUAUUUUUUAAACUUCUUCUACGAAGAAGCCAGCUGGGAUUCUAAUAGAAUUGCACUGAAUCUGUGGAUCAAUAUGGUGAAUAUUGCCAUCUUAACAAUAUUAACCUUUUGUAUCCAUGAACAUGAAAUGUCUUCUCCAUUUAUUUUUAUCUUCUUUAAUAGCUUUUAACAAUGUUUUGUAGUUUGAGUAUAACUUUUGUACUGUUUUUAUUAAAUUUGUUUCUAAGUAUUUUAUUCUUUUUGAUGUUAUUAAAAAUGGAAUUGUUUUCUUAA